This 404-nucleotide ribosomal RNA is filed under the name Fusobacteriota bacterium. Its description in RNAcentral is "Fusobacteria bacterium partial 16S ribosomal RNA". It matches the Rfam family "Bacterial small subunit ribosomal RNA", at positions 355 to 776 of the family's 1533-position model. The record is from RNAcentral. Lineage: Bacteria; Fusobacteriati; Fusobacteriota.
UGGGGAAUAUUGCACAAUGGAGGGAACUCUGAUGCAGCGACGCCGCGUGAGUGAUGAAGGACUUCGUUUCGUAAAACUCUGUUCUAUGGGAAGAAAAGGACUGUACCAUAGGAGAAAGCUCCGGCUAAAUACGUGCCAGCAGCCGCGGUAAUACGUAUGGAGCGAGCGUUGUCCGGAAUUAUUGGGCGUAAAGGGUGCGCAGGCGGCUUUACAAGUUGGAUGUGAAAUAUUGUGGCUCAACCACAAGCGUGCAUCCAAAACUGCAAAGCUUGAGUUAAGGAGAGGUAAGUGGAAUUCCUGGUGUAGCGGUGGAAUGCGUAGAUAUCAGGAGGAAUACCGGUGGCGAAGGCGACUUACUGGACUUAAACUGACGCUCAGGCACGAAAGCGUGGGGAGCAAACAGG